GUGACUUGAUAAAAAGAGGUAGAGAUGUAGGACUAUAUAGCGUUAGUUAUAAACUUUUGGGUAUAAGGUUCUAUGCUCGUCGUACACUUUAUGUGAUUACGAUCUCGAACCAGGACAAAGAAGAUCAUACAUUUGUCAUGAACAAAGAGAGAUUCUGAAAGCCUUAUUUGACCAGGGAAUAACGAGGAGAGGGUCGCCUUUGAUGGCUGAGGCAGCCACCUGAACUGGUCUGUCGGAGAGUGGUGGAGGUUAUCAAGUUGGAAGGUAGGGGGUCGACACAGCUUUCCUUGUUUACAACCCCGAGGACCCCAUACCAGUCAGCACAGCCUCAUCUGGGAGGGGAAAGGAAUUUGUUGAGGGCCAAGUUCUGAUCGCCAAGUUUUCUGUACACUUUUCUGAUACCAAAGUUACCAUAUUUUUUAAAUAUGUGUAACACUUAACCUCAAGCAUACAGAUGUAGGAUCUUCAUUUGAUCAUCCAGGUGCAGGACAACUUUUAUGCAAUGCAGGACAUUUUUAACGUAUAGUGUAUUUGAGGUUUGUAAAGACUUCUGAAGUUUGUAAUUUCCACUUAGAAAUGUCAGACUUGAUUUUCCCUUGCGAUAAAUGUAUCAACCCCCAGCAAAAAUAUAAAUUCAUUAAAAUCCACAUACCACAUUUUACUUUUACUGCAUGAUUAUUUUCCUGCUGUAGCAAACUGACUCAAAUUAAGAUCCUACAUCUGUACAUCUAUAAUGCCUUUAAACACACUCAUACAGCACUGUGCCUCUUUUAUUGUUACAUCUUGGCAAACCUGCAGCUUCACAGUCAAGGCUAGGGUGCAAGGAGUACAAGCUUUAUUCAACCAGAAGUAUAGUAUGUACCAUUUUAUUUGAAAUAAACUAUUAAAAUGUACUGUAUAUCUGUGAUUCAACAAUUAAAUAACAGUCUUGCUCCGCUUUUAAGCAAGCUUAAAUUUAACCACUAAAAUUCAAAGACAGAGUUCUGGAUACAAGGGCUGACAUUUGAUUUAUAAAAACAUGUGGUGGCUGUGCCUUGUUGGUUUACAUUCAAGUAAGCAGAUUCAUGGAUCACUGGUAGAAGCUUGGAAUAAUGCGUACACUUGAUCUUCCUUCACUUGUUUCUGUUAUGAUGAAGCAGGUGGACAAGGCAGAGUUCCAUAUAUGGCUGUGGCUGCCAAAAGGGUGGUCAUUGAAGUAGAGGGUAUGCCAGGUGGGAUAGAAUUUAAAAGCCCUCCCACUAUGGCAUGGACCAACUAUCUUCCAUUUUGGAGGCAGGCCCUGGCAUCAAGUUCACAAUAAGUAAGAUGCAAUCAAUGCUCUCUACAAUGUUUCAAUGCGGAAUUGUAAUGUCUUGGUCAUUGAGACGAACAACAUUGACAUGUACAGUACCGGCAGUGACUUGACCCAUUACUUUACACAAUCAGGACAUUCCCUUUGAACAGAUACUCAAUGUGGCCACUGCUCUCACGAAAGGGCAACGGUGAGCUUUACUAUAUAUGGCCAUCCACCACUUGUUGUUUUUUUCUGGGUAAAUGUGUCUGCUGAUUAUGAAAAGAUGGAGCAGAUUUUAGAAUAUCUGUUUGCAACUGAGAGUGGUGCUGGGCCUAGAGCUGGAGAUGGGAGUGGAGCUGGAGCUGGGCCUGG
Oncorhynchus keta (chum salmon) is the source of this 1645-nucleotide long non-coding RNA. RefSeq lists it as uncharacterized. The transcript is spliced from 3 exons. The record is from RefSeq and is a predicted model, not a curated record. Lineage: Eukaryota; Metazoa; Chordata; Actinopteri; Salmoniformes; Salmonidae.